RNAcentral lists this ribosomal RNA (253 nucleotides) under uncultured bacterium. RNAcentral's name for it is "partial 16S ribosomal RNA". It matches the Rfam family "Bacterial small subunit ribosomal RNA", at positions 524 to 776 of the family's 1533-position model. The record is from RNAcentral.
UACGUAGGUGGCAAGCGUUGUCCGGAUUUACUGGGCGUAAAGAGCGCGCAGGCGGUCGUGCAAGUCGCGUGUGAAAGCCCCCGGCUCAACUGGGGAGGGUCACGCGAUACUGCUCGACUCGAAGGCAGGAGAGGGAAGUGGAAUUCCCGGUGUAGUGGUGAAAUGCGUAGAUAUCGGGAGGAACACCAGUGGCGAAGGCGACUUCCUGGCCUGUUCUUGACGCUGAGGCGCGGAAGCUAGGGUAGCAAACGGG